Molecule: ribosomal RNA, 1355 nt
Filed under: uncultured bacterium
Lineage: Bacteria
Description: bacterial SSU rRNA
Rfam family: Bacterial small subunit ribosomal RNA
Source: RNAcentral
AUUGAACGCUGGCGGCAGGCUUAACACAUGCAAGUCGAACGAUGACUAACUAGCUUGCUAGAUAUGAUUAGUGGCGGACGGGUGAGUAACAUUUAGGAAUCUGCCUAGUAGUGGGGGAUAGCUCGGGGAAACUCGAAUUAAUACCGCAUACGACCUACGGGUGAAAGGGGGCGCAAGCUCUUGCUAUUAGAUGAGCCUAAAUCAGAUUAGCUAGUUGGUGGGGUAAAGGCCCACCAAGGCGACGAUCUGUAACUGGUCUGAGAGGAUGAUCAGUCACACCGGAACUGAGACACGGUCCGGACUCCUACGGGAGGCAGCAGUGGGGAAUAUUGGACAAUGGGGGCAACCCUGAUCCAGCCAUGCCGCGUGUGUGAAGAAGGCCUUUUGGUUGUAAAGCACUUUAAGCAGGGAGGAGAGGCUAAUGGUUAAUACCCAUUAGAUUAGACGUUACCUGCAGAAUAAGCACCGGCUAACUCUGUGCCAGCAGCCGCGGUAAUACAGAGGGUGCGAGCGUUAAUCGGAAUUACUGGGCGUAAAGCGAGCGUAGGUGGCUCAUUAAGUCACAUGUGAAAUCCCCGGGCUUAACCUGGGAACUGCAUGUGAUACUGGUGGUGCUAGAAUAUGUGAGAGGGAAGUAGAAUUCCAGGUGUAGCGGUGAAAUGCGUAGAGAUCUGGAGGAAUACCGAUGGCGAAGGCAGCUUCCUGGCAUAAUAUUGACACUGAGAUUCGAAAGCGUGGGUAGCAAACAGGAUUAGAUACCCUGGUAGUCCACGCCGUAAACGAUGUCUACUAGCCGUUGGGGUCCUUGAGACUUUAGUGGCGCAGUUAACGCGAUAAGUAGACCGCCUGGGGAGUACGGCCGCAAGGUUAAAACUCAAAUGAAUUGACGGGGGCCCGCACAAGCGGUGGAGCAUGUGGUUUAAUUCGAUGCAACGCGAAGAACCUUACCUGGUCUUGACAUAGUAAGAACUUUCCAGAGAUGGAUUGGUGCCUUCGGGAACUUACAUACAGGUGCUGCAUGGCUGUCGUCAGCUCGUGUCGUGAGAUGUUGGGUUAAGUCCCGCAACGAGCGCAACCCUUUUCCUUAUUUGCCAGCGGGUUAAGCCGGGAACUUUAAGGAUACUGCCAGUGACAAACUGGAGGAAGGCGGGGACGACGUCAAGUCAUCAUGGCCCUUACGACCAGGGCUACACACGUGCUACAAUGGUAGGUACAGAGGGUUGCUACACAGCGAUGUGAUGCUAAUCUCAAAAAGCCUAUCGUAGUCCGGAUUGGAGUCUGCAACUCGACUCCAUGAAGUCGGAAUCGCUAGUAAUCGCAGAUCAGAAUGCUGCGGUGAAUACGUUCCCGGGCCU